Clostridium sp. CAG:465 is the source of this 143-nucleotide non-coding RNA. Lineage: Bacteria; Bacillati; Bacillota; Clostridia; Eubacteriales; Clostridiaceae. The record is from Rfam.
AUAAUUAAAUAUAUUAAACCCUAGACAGUAGGUGGCAAGUCCACAAUUCCUACCGAGGUUAUAUAAAAAGAAUAGAGCGGAAAUGUUUCUUAUCUUAGAUUAUAACCUUUGGUUGUCUAGAUAAGAAAUUUUUAUUUUAAGGA